This 253-nucleotide ribosomal RNA is filed under the name uncultured bacterium. Its description in RNAcentral is "partial 16S ribosomal RNA". It matches the Rfam family "Bacterial small subunit ribosomal RNA", at positions 524 to 776 of the family's 1533-position model. The record is from RNAcentral.
UACGUAGGGUGCGAGCGUUGUCCGGAAUUAUUGGGCGUAAAGGGCUCGUAGGCGGUUUGUCGCGUCGGGAGUGAAAUCCAGGUGCCUAACACCUGGCUUGCUUUCGAUACGGGCAGACUAGAGGCAUGCAGGGGAGAACGGAAUUCCCGGUGUAGAGGUGAAAUUCGUAGAUAUCGGGAGGAACACCGGUGGCGAAGGCGGCGACCUGGGUAGAUACUGACGCUGAGGCGCGAAAGCGUGGGGAGCAAACAGG